Molecule: ribosomal RNA, 88 nt
Filed under: Vibrio cholerae
Lineage: Bacteria; Pseudomonadati; Pseudomonadota; Gammaproteobacteria; Vibrionales; Vibrionaceae
Source: RNAcentral
CUGAUUCCAUCCCGAACUCAGAAGUGAAACGAAACAGCGUCGAUGGUAGUGUGGGGUCUCCCCAUGUGAGAGUAGAACAUCGCCAGGC